This 4828-nucleotide ribosomal RNA is filed under the name Proteus penneri. Its description in RNAcentral is "23S ribosomal RNA". The stretch from base 2106 to 3648 matches the Rfam family "Bacterial small subunit ribosomal RNA". Lineage: Bacteria; Pseudomonadati; Pseudomonadota; Gammaproteobacteria; Enterobacterales; Morganellaceae. The record is from RNAcentral.
GUAAUCACCUUUUAUUAGGCAAUGGUAGUGUAGGUGGUGGAGUGGAUUGGCAACGUCAAUCUAUUAAAGAAGGUUCUAAUGGAUUCCCUAAUAAAGAACAUUUCGAUAAUACAGGCUUAUAUCUAACUGGACAGCAAAAGUUAGGCAAUGUGAUUGCUGAAGCAUCGGUACGUUCUGAUCAUCAUUCUGAAUACAAUUGGCAUACUACGUGGCAAUCUAAUUUAGCGUGGGAGUUCGUUGAGGGCUAUCGUGUGAUUGGUGGUUAUGGUACAGCAUUUAAAGCACCGACACUGAUGCAACUUUAUAGUGAAUGGGGAAGUAAUCCAAACUUACAACCCGAAAAGAGUAAACAGUGGGAGGGGGGCUUUGAAGGCGUAACAGGACCUUUAGCGUGGCGUUUGACUGCAUAUAGAAAUAAUAUUACUAAUUUAAUUGAAGCCGAUUCUAAGCAAGGAUGGAAAAAUUAUAAUAUUGGAGAAGCUUUAAUUAAAGGCGUCGAAUUUACGGGUGAAAUGGAUACGUGGAUUUUCCAUCACACCUUUAAUUACCAAUAUAUAGAUGCAAGAAAUAAAGAAACGCACCAACGUCUUGAUCGUCGAGCUCGUCAGCAAGUGAAAUAUCAGCUUGAUUGGCAAGUCGAAAAAUUAGAUAUGGGGGUGACAUACCAAUAUAUCGGUCAACGUACUGAUAAAGAGUAUGAUCCUUCAACUUAUUCAUCAAAACCUAUUUCUCUAGGCGGUGUGAGUAUUUGGGAUUUAACUGCGUCAUAUCCUAUUACAUCACAUCUCUCAAUUCGUGGUAGAAUAGCCAACCUGUUUGAUAAAGAUUAUGAGACAGCUUAUGGCUAUCGCACGCCAGGACGUGAAUACUUCCUCACAGGAAGCUACAACUUCUGAUGCACUAUCUACCGCUAACCCUACUGUAUUGAUUUUUGAUUCAGGGGUUGGCGGUUUAUCUGUUUAUCGUGAGAUCCGUGAAAAAUUACCGGAUGCUCACUAUAUCUAUGUUUUCGAUAAUGAAGCUUUCCCUUAUGGUGAGAAAUCACAAGAAUUCAUUAUUGACCGUGUUGUUCGAAUUGUUAGCGCGGUGGCUGAAAAGCACUUUCUCGCCACCAUUGUUAUUGCUUGUAAUACAGCAAGCACAGUGAGCCUCCCUGCUUUACGUGCAAAGUUUACUGAUAUUCCUAUUGUGGGUGUUGUACCUGCUAUUAAACCGGCAGCUAAAUUAACCUGUAAUGGGGUCGUUGGAUUAUUAGCGACGAGAGCAACAGUUAAACGCCCUUAUACCCAUGAACUGAUAGAACGCUUUGCAACUGAUUGUAAAGUUCAUUCUUUAGGUUCGGCCGAGCUGGUGGAACUAGCAGAAAGGAAACUUCAUGGCGAGGAAGUUUCUCUAGAUGCGCUUCGUAAAAUUCUUACACCUUGGCUAAAAAUGAAAGAGCCACCAGAUACAGUCGUAUUAGGCUGUACUCAUUUCCCUUUAUUAGCUGAUGAACUUCUUUCUGUUUUACCUGAUGGCACACGAAUUAUCGAUUCUGGUGCUGCAAUUGCACGAAGAACUGCGUGGUUGGUCGUAAAUCAAGCGAAAAUAAAAGGUUCAAAUGAAAUUAGCUUCGCUUAUUGCUUAAAAGAAGAUGAGAAUAGCGAAUUAUUAAAACCUGUUUUAGCGGGUUUUGGCUUUGAAUCGCUCAGAAAACUAGCGCUUUAAGUGCAAUUUGGUGGAAAAUUCAACGGUCAGUUAAAAAACUAAAAAAAAGUGUUGCCAGCUUCACAAAACUCCCUAUAAUGCGCCCUCGUUGUCACGGCAAACCACGCUAAGUGAGUUAGCCAAGAGGACAAAAAAAUAAAGUGAAAAGCCUUGAAAAUAAACGCUUGACACUGAAUGAGGAAGAUGUAGAAUGCACCUCCUCGCAACAACGCAGAAGACCGGAAACGGCAGCGAAUGUUGCACUGCUCUUUAACAAAUUAUCAGACAAUCUGUGUGGGCACUCGCAGAGACGAUAUCUUCUAAAAUAUUAGAUGUAUCAAGUCUUGAAGAGUGAACAACAAAAGUAAAUUCAUUUAUGAAUAGCUAAGUUUUCGAUUUCUUUGAGCAUCAAACACUUUUAAUUGAAGAGUUUGAUCAUGGCUCAGAUUGAACGCUGGCGGCAGGCCUAACACAUGCAAGUCGAGCGGUAACAGAAGAAAGCUUGCUUUCUUGCUGACGAGCGGCGGACGGGUGAGUAAUGUAUGGGGAUCUGCCCGAUAGAGGGGGAUAACUACUGGAAACGGUGGCUAAUACCGCAUGACGUCUACGGACCAAAGCAGGGGCUCUUCGGACCUUGCGCUAUCGGAUGAACCCAUAUGGGAUUAGCUAGUAGGUGAGGUAAAGGCUCACCUAGGCGACGAUCUCUAGCUGGUCUGAGAGGAUGAUCAGCCACACUGGGACUGAGACACGGCCCAGACUCCUACGGGAGGCAGCAGUGGGGAAUAUUGCACAAUGGGCGCAAGCCUGAUGCAGCCAUGCCGCGUGUAUGAAGAAGGCCUUAGGGUUGUAAAGUACUUUCAGCGGGGAGGAAGGUGAUAAAGUUAAUACCUUUAUCAAUUGACGUUACCCGCAGAAGAAGCACCGGCUAACUCCGUGCCAGCAGCCGCGGUAAUACGGAGGGUGCAAGCGUUAAUCGGAAUUACUGGGCGUAAAGCGCACGCAGGCGGUCAAUUAAGUCAGAUGUGAAAGCCCCGAGCUUAACUUGGGAAUUGCAUCUGAAACUGGUUGGCUAGAGUCUUGUAGAGGGGGGUAGAAUUCCAUGUGUAGCGGUGAAAUGCGUAGAGAUGUGGAGGAAUACCGGUGGCGAAGGCGGCCCCCUGGACAAAGACUGACGCUCAGGUGCGAAAGCGUGGGGAGCAAACAGGAUUAGAUACCCUGGUAGUCCACGCUGUAAACGAUGUCGAUUUAGAGGUUGUGGUCUUGAACCGUGGCUUCUGGAGCUAACGCGUUAAAUCGACCGCCUGGGGAGUACGGCCGCAAGGUUAAAACUCAAAUGAAUUGACGGGGGCCCGCACAAGCGGUGGAGCAUGUGGUUUAAUUCGAUGCAACGCGAAGAACCUUACCUACUCUUGACAUCCAGCGGAUCCUUUAGAGAUAAAGGAGUGCCUUCGGGAACGCUGAGACAGGUGCUGCAUGGCUGUCGUCAGCUCGUGUUGUGAAAUGUUGGGUUAAGUCCCGCAACGAGCGCAACCCUUAUCCUUUGUUGCCAGCGCGUCAUGGCGGGAACUCAAAGGAGACUGCCGGUGAUAAACCGGAGGAAGGUGGGGAUGACGUCAAGUCAUCAUGGCCCUUACGAGUAGGGCUACACACGUGCUACAAUGGCAGAUACAAAGAGAAGCGACCUCGCGAGAGCAAGCGGAACUCAUAAAGUCUGUCGUAGUCCGGAUUGGAGUCUGCAACUCGACUCCAUGAAGUCGGAAUCGCUAGUAAUCGUAGAUCAGAAUGCUACGGUGAAUACGUUCCCGGGCCUUGUACACACCGCCCGUCACACCAUGGGAGUGGGUUGCAAAAGAAGUAGGUAGCUUAACCUUCGGGAGGGCGCUUACCACUUUGUGAUUCAUGACUGGGGUGAAGUCGUAACAAGGUAACCGUAGGGGAACCUGCGGUUGGAUCACCUCCUUACCUAAGAGAUACGUGUUAUGUGCAGUGCUCACACAGAUUGUCUGAUGAAGAACGAGCAAAACACAGCACUGUGCAAACACGAAAGUGGACGUAUACGGUGUGACGCCUGCCCGGUGCUGGAAGGUUAAUUGAUGGGGUUAUCCUUAGGGAGAAGCUCUUGAUCGAAGCCCCAGUAAACGGCGGCCGUAACUAUAACGGUCCUAAGGUAGCGAAAUUCCUUGUCGGGUAAGUUCCGACCUGCACGAAUGGCGUAAUGAUGGCCAGGCUGUCUCCACCCGAGACUCAGUGAAAUUGAACUCGCUGUGAAGAUGCAGUGUACCCGCGGCAAGACGGAAAGACCCCGUGAACCUUUACUAUAGCUUGACACUGAACAUUGAGCCUUGAUGUGUAGGAUAGGUGGGAGACUAUGAAGUGUGGACGCCAGUCUGCAUGGAGUCAACCUUGAAAUACCACCCUUUAACGUUUGAUGUUCUAACCUAGGCCCAUAAUCUGGGUCGGGGACCGUGUCUGGUGGGUAGUUUGACUGGGGCGGUCUCCUCCUAAAGAGUAACGGAGGAGCACGAAGGUUGGCUAAGCAUGGUCGGACAUCAUGCGGUUAGUGCAAAGGCAUAAGCCAGCUUGACUGUGAGAGUGACGGCUCGAGCAGGUACGAAAGUAGGUCUUAGUGAUCCGGUGGUUCUGAAUGGAAGGGCCAUCGCUCAACGGAUAAAAGGUACUCCGGGGAUAACAGGCUGAUACCGCCCAAGAGUUCAUAUCGACGGCGGUGUUUGGCACCUCGAUGUCGGCUCAUCACAUCCUGGGGCUGAAGUAGGUCCCAAGGGUAUGGCUGUUCGCCAUUUAAAGUGGUACGCGAGCUGGGUUUAGAACGUCGUGAGACAGUUCGGUCCCUAUCUGCCGUGGGCGUUGGAAGAUUGAGAGGGGUUGCUCCUAGUACGAGAGGACCGGAGUGAACGCACCACUGGUGUUCGGGUUGUCAUGCCAAUGGCAUUGCCCGGUAGCUAAGUGCGGAAGAGAUAACCGCUGAAAGCAUCUAAGCGGGAAACUUGCCUCGAGAUGAGUCUUCCCUGUCACCUUGAGUGACCUAAAGGAACGUUUAAGACUAAGACGUUGAUAGGCUGGGUGUGUAAGCGUAGCGAUACGUUGAGCUAACCAGUACUAAUGAACCGUGAGGCUUAACCUG